RNAcentral lists this ribosomal RNA (216 nucleotides) under uncultured bacterium. RNAcentral's name for it is "partial 16S ribosomal RNA". It matches the Rfam family "Bacterial small subunit ribosomal RNA", at positions 118 to 351 of the family's 1533-position model. The record is from RNAcentral.
UGGGAACCUGCCCUUGGGUACGGAAUAACAGGUAGAAAUGACUGCUAAUACCGUAUAAUGACUUCGGUCCAAAGAUUUAUCGCCCAGGGAUGAGCCCGCGUAGGAUUAGCUAGUUGGUGAGGUAAAGGCUCACCAAGGCGACGAUCCUUAGCUGGUCUGAGAGGAUGAUCAGCCACACUGGGACUGAGACACGGCCCAGACUCCUACGGGAGGCAG